UACGAAGGGGGCUAGCGUUGCUCGGAAUCACUGGGCGUAAAGCGCACGUAGGCGGCUUUCUAAGUCAGGGGUGAAAUCCUGGAGCUCAACUCCAGAACUGCCUUUGAUACUGAGAGCUUGAGUCCGGGAGAGGUGAGUGGAACUGCGAGUGUAGAGGUGAAAUUCGUAGAUAUUCGCAAGAACACCAGUGGCGAAGGCGGCUCACUGGCCCGGUACUGACGCUGAGGUGCGAAAGCGUGGGGAGCAAACAGG
RNAcentral lists this ribosomal RNA (252 nucleotides) under uncultured bacterium. Its description in RNAcentral is "partial 16S ribosomal RNA". It matches the Rfam family "Bacterial small subunit ribosomal RNA", at positions 524 to 776 of the family's 1533-position model. The record is from RNAcentral.